GUGUGUAAAGAAAGUGAGAGGGAGGAUGAAGAUAUGGAGUGAAUGAAGAGGAAGAGGGGUGCUUGUAUUUAUAGUUGAAAUCCUGCCGACGGACCGAGGAAAUUCCGACGGAAUUCCGAUGCAAACGGCUAGUUCGUCGGAAUUUCCUCGGAAUUUUUAAAAUCCCCCAACGGCUCUCCAACGGCUCUCUAACGUCUAUAAUAUUUCCUCGGAAUUCAUCGGUUUUUUCUGAGGAAUA
This 238-nucleotide long non-coding RNA is filed under the name Brassica rapa (field mustard). Its description in RNAcentral is "long non-coding RNA (BRAP_LNC000394)". The record is from RNAcentral. Lineage: Eukaryota; Viridiplantae; Streptophyta; Magnoliopsida; Brassicales; Brassicaceae.